UUUUAAUGUAUAUUUUAUUUUUCUUCAAACAGCCUGGAAACUGAACUGCAUCAUAAAACUUGUGCUUGAAAAGUGUCAUGGGACCCAUAUUAAGUUUCCAAAUUUGAUCUGCUGCACACAAGUAGCUUUGAAGAAGAAGGAUCCCAUGCAGCUUAAAGAAAAACACAAGUCACAUCCAUAUUUGUUUGACAUCAUCUUCAAGCACACCUGGAUUCCUUGUUGCAAUGUCUUCAAAACAAAUGUAAAAAUGAAAGGAUUUCAGUGGUGAGCUCAUAUGAUGGGAUCAAAAGGAAGUGAACUGGACUCUGAGGGACUUAACA
Danio rerio (zebrafish) is the source of this 320-nucleotide non-coding RNA. The record is from RefSeq and is a predicted model, not a curated record. Lineage: Eukaryota; Metazoa; Chordata; Actinopteri; Cypriniformes; Danionidae.